Molecule: ribosomal RNA, 253 nt
Filed under: uncultured bacterium
Lineage: Bacteria
Description: partial 16S ribosomal RNA
Rfam family: Bacterial small subunit ribosomal RNA
Source: RNAcentral
UACAGAGGGUGCAAACGUUGUUCGGAGUUACUGGGCGUAAAGCGCAUGUAGGCGGCCCGGCAGGUCGGAUGUGAAAGCCCUUGGCUCAACCAAGGAAGUGCAUUCGAAACCGCCGGGCUGGAGUCCCGGAGAGGAAGGUGGAAUUCUCGGUGUAGAGGUGAAAUGCGUAGAGAUCGGGAAGAACAUCGGUGGCGAAGGCGCUCUACUGGACCACAACUGACACUCAGGGACGAAAGCUAGGGGAGCGAAUGGG